GAUGAACGCUGGCGGCGUGCCUAAUACAUGCAAGUCGAGCGAACAGACGAGGAGCUUGCUCCUCUGACGUUAGCGGCGGACGGGUGAGUAACACGUGGAUAACCUACCUAUAAGACUGGGAUAACUUCGGGAAACCGGAGCUAAUACCGGAUAAUAUAUUGAACCGCAUGGUUCAAUAGUGAAAGACGGUUUUGCUGUCACUUAUAGAUGGAUCCGCGCCGCAUUAGCUAGUUGGUAAGGUAACGGCUUACCAAGGCGACGAUGCGUAGCCGACCUGAGAGGGCGAUCGGCCACACUGGAACUGAGACACGGUCCAGACUCCUACGGGAGGCAGCAGUAGGGAAUCUUCCGCAAUGGGCGAAAGCUUGACGGAGCAACGCCGCGUGAGUGAUGAAGGUCUUCGGAUCGUAAAACUCUGUUAUUAGGGAAGAACAAAUGUGUAAGUAACUAUGCACGUCUUGACGGUACCUAAUCAGAAAGCCACGGCUAACUACGUG
RNAcentral lists this ribosomal RNA (497 nucleotides) under uncultured bacterium. Its description in RNAcentral is "partial 16S ribosomal RNA". It matches the Rfam family "Bacterial small subunit ribosomal RNA", at positions 28 to 507 of the family's 1533-position model. The record is from RNAcentral.